RNAcentral lists this ribosomal RNA (253 nucleotides) under uncultured bacterium. RNAcentral's name for it is "partial 16S ribosomal RNA". It matches the Rfam family "Bacterial small subunit ribosomal RNA", at positions 524 to 776 of the family's 1533-position model. The record is from RNAcentral.
UACGAAGGGGGCUAGCGUUGCUCGGAAUCACUGGGCGUAAAGGGUGCGUAGGCGGGUCUUUAAGUCAGGGGUGAAAUCCUGGAGCUCAACUCCAGAACUGCCUUUGAUACUGAGGAUCUUGAGUACGGGAGAGGUGAGUGGAACUGCGAGUGUAGAGGUGAAAUUCGUAGAUAUUGGGAAGAACACCGGUGGCGAAGGCGGCUAUCUGGCCCGUAAUUGACGCUGAGGCGCGAAAGCGUGGGGAGCGAACAGG